GAUGUGGGAACAUGGGUACAUGUAUCAGAAAAAGAAAAUCAAACGUCCAUUUUUCCUUCUCCUAGGGUUUAAACUCUGAUAAAACCCUUGUUUCUUCUUUUUCUUUCUUUUUUCGCUCUUCAUCUUUUCCCUCUGCUUCAGCAAACAAAAACAAACAAAAAUCCUUUCUUCUUCAAACCUUCAAAUUCUUCCAUGGCCAGCUCAAGCAAAAACAAAA
This 217-nucleotide long non-coding RNA is filed under the name Lathyrus oleraceus (garden pea). RNAcentral's name for it is "Pisum sativum (pea) long non-coding RNA (PSAT_LNC030901)". The record is from RNAcentral. Lineage: Eukaryota; Viridiplantae; Streptophyta; Magnoliopsida; Fabales; Fabaceae.